Molecule: ribosomal RNA, 499 nt
Filed under: uncultured bacterium
Lineage: Bacteria
Description: partial 16S ribosomal RNA
Rfam family: Bacterial small subunit ribosomal RNA
Source: RNAcentral
GACGAACGCUGGCGGCGUGCUUAACACAUGCAAGUCGAACGGGCCCGCCCCUGUUUUUGGGGGUGGGUUGCGUGGCGAACGGGUGAGUAUCCCGUGAGUAACCUGCCCCCUGCUCCUGGAUAACUGCUUGAAAGGGCGGCUAAUACGGGGUGUGCCGGCUGGUCCGCAUGGGCCUGGUCGGGAUAGUUUCAUCUUCGGGUGUUUCGGUGGGGGAUGGGCUCGCGGCCUAUCAGCUUGUUGGUGGGGUGAUGGCCCACCAAGGCGGUGACGGGUAGCCGGCCUGAGAGGGUGGGCGGCCACACUGAGAGGGAGACACGGCCCAGACGCCUGCGGGAGGCAGCAGGGGGGGGUAGUGCAGAAUGGGCGGGAGCCUGAUGCAGCGACGUCGCGUGAGGGAUGGAGGCCUUCGGGUUGUGAACCUCUUUCUCCGGGGGUGAAGGCCCUGUCCGUUGCGGCGGGGUUGACGGUAGCCGGGGAUGAAGCGCCGGCUAACUACGUG